AUACUUACCUGGAGGGGAGGGGAGAUAUCAUGAUCAUGAAGGUGGUUUUCCCAGGGCGAGGCUCAUCCAUCACACUGCAGAUGUGCUGCCCCCUGAGAUUUCCCCACAUGCGGGAAACGCAACUGAAUAGUUUGUGGUAAUGGGGACUGCACUACUGCUUUCCCCU
Trichechus manatus latirostris (Florida manatee) is the source of this 166-nucleotide small nuclear RNA. RefSeq annotates it as U1 spliceosomal RNA. The transcript has a single exon. The record is from RefSeq and is a predicted model, not a curated record. Lineage: Eukaryota; Metazoa; Chordata; Mammalia; Sirenia; Trichechidae.